UUAUCAAGAAUUUAAUUGCCGAACAAAUAAACUUGAUUCAACACAAGAUGUAUUUCGUAGUUUUUUGGGAUAAAACGUCUGCAAUCGUACCUGCAUCAUGGGUAGAUUCAGAA
Long non-coding RNA from Papilio machaon (common yellow swallowtail), 113 nucleotides. RefSeq lists it as uncharacterized. NCBI's taxonomy places the organism in Eukaryota, Metazoa, Arthropoda, Insecta, Lepidoptera, Papilionidae. The record is from RefSeq and is a predicted model, not a curated record. The transcript has 2 exons.